Vicia faba (fava bean) is the source of this 279-nucleotide non-coding RNA. The record is from the annotation of a GenBank genome assembly. NCBI's taxonomy places the organism in Eukaryota, Viridiplantae, Streptophyta, Magnoliopsida, Fabales, Fabaceae.
AUGUGCCCUCUUAGGGUUAUUCUGAUUUUCUUGUCCGCAACUCUCGCCGGAUUCUUCGUCCUAAGAAAUCUAAGAUCUCAACCUAAGAUCGACGAUGAAGAUGAAGAUGCUAUUCUUCCUUCAAACCCUAAAAUCUUAGAUUCUUCAAAUGCUGCAUCGAAUGGAAAUUCUAAGGUUUGGAAUGCGUUGGAAUUUGGGUUUUGGACCUUUGUUGAUAUGGCUAGCGGGCGUUAUCUUUGGAGGCAUGUGGUUUCUUCUUCUUCAAAGCGCUCCAGCUGA